UCGAGCGGCAGCACGGGUACUUGUACCUGGUGGCGAGCGGCGGACGGGUGAGUAAUGCCUAGGAAUCUGCCUGGUAGUGGGGGAUAACGCUCGGAAACGGACGCUAAUACCGCAUACGUCCUACGGGAGAAAGCAGGGGACCUUCGGGCCUUGCGCUAUCAGAUGAGCCUAGGUCGGAUUAGCUAGUUGGUGAGGUAAUGGCUCACCAAGGCGACGAUCCGUAACUGGUCUGAGAGGAUGAUCAGUCACACUGGAACUGAGACACGGUCCAGACUCCUACGGGAGGCAGCAGUGGGGAAUAUUGGACAAUGGGCGAAAGCCUGAUCCAGCCAUGCCGCGUGUGUGAAGAAGGUCUUCGGAUUGUAAAGCACUUUAAGUUGGGAGGAAGGGCAGUUACCUAAUACGUAUCUGUUUUGACGUUACCGACAGAAUAAGCACCGGCUAACUCUGUGCCAGCAGCCGCGGUAAUACAGAGGGUGCAAGCGUUUAUCGGAAUUACUGGGCAUAAAGCGCGCGUAUGUGGUUCGUUAAGUUCGCAUGUGAAAUCCCCGGGCUCAACCUGUGGAACUGCAUUCAACACUGACGA
This 586-nucleotide ribosomal RNA is filed under the name Pseudomonas mandelii. RNAcentral describes it as "bacterial SSU rRNA". It matches the Rfam family "Bacterial small subunit ribosomal RNA", at positions 62 to 639 of the family's 1533-position model. The record is from RNAcentral. Lineage: Bacteria; Pseudomonadati; Pseudomonadota; Gammaproteobacteria; Pseudomonadales; Pseudomonadaceae.